GAUGAAGAACGUAGCGAAAUGCGAUAAGUAAUGUGAAUUGCAGAAUUCAGUGAAUCAUCGAAUCUUUGAACGCACAUUGCGCCCUCUGGUAUUCCGGGGGGCAUGCCUGUUCGAGCGUCAUUACAACCCUCAAGCUUUGCUUGGUAUUGGACAUUGCCAGUUUCUGGCAGGUCUUAAAAUCAGUGGCGGUGCCAUUUGGCUUCAAGCGUAGUAAUUCUUCUCGCUUUGGAGAUCCAAGUGGUUACUUGCCAAUAACCCCCAAUUUUUUCAGGUUGACCUCGGAUCAGGUAGGGAUACCCGCUGAACUUAAGCAUAUCAAUAAGCGAGGA
RNAcentral lists this unclassified non-coding RNA (329 nucleotides) under soil metagenome. RNAcentral's name for it is "partial contains 5.8S ribosomal RNA, internal transcribed spacer 2, and large subunit ribosomal RNA". The stretch from base 1 to 120 matches the Rfam family "5.8S ribosomal RNA", at positions 35 to 154 of the family's 154-position model. The record is from RNAcentral.